UGCAGUCGAGCGGGGAAAGUAGCUUGCUACCUGACCUAGCGGCGGACGGGUGAGUAAUGCUUAGGAAUCUGCCUAUUAGUGGGGGACAACAUCUCGAAAGGGAUGCUAAUACCGCAUACGUCCUACGGGAGAAAGCAGGGGACCUUCGGGCCUUGCGCUAAUAGAUGAGCCUAAGUCGGAUUAGCUAGUUGGUGGGGUAAAGGCCUACCAAGGCGACGAUCUGUAGCGGGUCUGAGAGGAUGAUCCGCCACACUGGGACUGAGACACGGCCCAGACUCCUACGGGAGGCAGCAGUGGGGAAUAUUGGACAAUGGGGGGAACCCUGAUCCAGCCAUGCCGCGUGUGUGAAGAAGGCCUUUUGGUUGUAAAGCACUUUAAGCGAGGAGGAGGCUACCGAGAUUAAUACUCUUGGAUAGUGGACGUUACUCGCAGAAUAAGCACCGGCUAACUCUGUGCCAGCAGCCGCGGUAAUACAGAGGGUGCAAGCGUUAAUCGGAUUUACUGGGCGUAAAGCGCGCGUAGGUGGCCAAUUAAGUCAAAUGUGAAAUCCCCGAGCUUAACUUGGGAAUUGCAUUCGAUACUGGUUGGCUAGAGUAUGGGAGAGGAUGGUAGAAUUCCAGGUGUAGCGGUGAAAUGCGUAGAGAUCUGGAGGAAUACCGAUGGCGAAGGCAGCCAUCUGGCCUAAUACUGACACUGAAGGUGCGAAAGCAUGGGGGAGCAAACAGGAUUAAAUACCCUGGGUAGUCCAUGCCUGAAAACGAUGUCUACUACCCGUUGGGGGCCUUUGAAGGCUUUAAUGGCCGCAACUUAACGCUAAUCAGAUAGACCCGUGCUCUGGGGUGAAGUUACAGGUCGCGCGAUGUACUAUAAUAAACCUACUACAGAAAUAU
Molecule: ribosomal RNA, 890 nt
Filed under: Acinetobacter lwoffii
Lineage: Bacteria; Pseudomonadati; Pseudomonadota; Gammaproteobacteria; Moraxellales; Moraxellaceae
Description: bacterial SSU rRNA
Rfam family: Bacterial small subunit ribosomal RNA
Source: RNAcentral